Molecule: long non-coding RNA, 2967 nt
Organism: Portunus trituberculatus (swimming crab)
Lineage: Eukaryota; Metazoa; Arthropoda; Malacostraca; Decapoda; Portunidae
Exons: 2
Source: RefSeq, a predicted model, not a curated record
UAUUCAGUUUAUUAUAUAGCUUAGAUUCAUUUUAACUCUGUACACAAAAUAUAAAGUACUUUCCUUUGUGCAUCUACAACACAUGAAAACUUACACAUAGGACUUCCCACCAGUGAUACAAAGCUGAGGCUGCUUAGAAAUACUUUGGUUUGACAAGUAUGCAGGAUGAACACGUAUUAUUGACUCUCACACAGGUUACUCGGCUUUUCAUCUCUCUCUCUCCUCUCAGACACAAUCAAUAACAGGCUACUCUUUGCUUGCUUGCUUGUCUCUCUUCUCUUGCACUCUCACACUAGGUAACUCAUCCCUCACACACAGGUUACUCUCUGCUUUCCAUAUCUCUCUCUCUCUCUCUCUCUCUCUCUCUCUCUCUCUCAGACACAAUCAAUAACAGGCUACUCUUUGCUUACUUUCUUGUCCCUCUUCUCUUACACUCUCACACUAGCUAACUCAUCCCUUACACACAGGUUACUCUCUGUCUCCCUUCUUAUCUCUCCUCUUACAUUCACUGGCUAACUCAUCCUUCACACACAGGUUACUCUCUGCCUUUCUCUGCCUUCUUUUCCCAUAUUUUUCCUCUGAGACGCUCAACAUACUGGCUAACUCAUCCCUCGUACACAGUCUACUUUCCGCCUUCCUUCUCAUCUCUCUCCUCUUACACACUCAACACUGGCUAACUCAUUCCUUACACAGGUUACUUUCUGCCUCCUUUCUCAUCUCCCUCCUCUCAGACACUGACACUGGCUAACACAUUUCUCACUGGUUACUCUCUUCCUUCCUUCUCAUCUCCCUCCUCUCACACAUGUAUUAACACACUGGUUGCCUUUCACCACACUCCACUACAGACACAUGUAAAGAGAAUCAGCCUAAAGUUAUAGUUACACAGGCUUAAUAACUCAAUUUGUAUCCAGUUUGCCUUCAUUCUAACCCAAGACUUCUCUCAUAUCACACUGUCAUUGGAACUUUAUAUGAUGGAGAUGGAGAAAAAAACUGCAUGGUGUGUUUUGCUGAGUCUCUAUAACUAUUCUCAGAUUCUUCUCUGGUUUCCUAUGCAGUGUAGAUAUGGAAAAAUGGACUGUACAUGGUGUCAAGGUUCUGUAGUCACCAUGUUCCAGAUUAGCACCAGAAUUCUUUACCUGGCCCUUCCUCAAGUUAUUUCAUGGUAACUCAUCCAUACAUAUAAUUUCCUUCUCAUUCCUCUCAAGAUUAUUAUCUAUUUUUAUAUUUACGUGACUUUCCUGCAACUCUCAUACCUCUCUGUCCAAUAUAUUAUCUGCCCAAGCUUCAUAAUACUCAAUAAACAUACUUGGAACAAUAUUUCAUACAAGGGUUGGUAUAUUCAAGUCUGGUUGCUUCUCACAGCUUCCCUUAUUUCCUUACACUAUUUUCUGUGAACGUGAAGACUCUCGCACCUUAUCCAUAGCUAAUAUUAUGCCUCUGUUGGUCCAGGCUUGAAAAUAUCCACCAAAUUAAACUAUGACAGUCUUGGCAUCUCAUGGAACCACUUAAAAAUGAUAUCAACCUUUAAUUUCUUGCCCGUUUUAUAUAUUUCUAUUAACUAAUACAACAACUGAAUGCAUAGAACCUUCAAGAAUAAUAGUAAAUGGACAGAUUGGGAAUAUUGAGGUGAGGGAAAGCAAUAUACCAUUAGAAUUAACACUACGGGUAGGUAGACAUGAUAAUAUAUGGAAAAAAUACUAAUAUUUUAACGUGUGUGAGGAGAACAGUUGAAAUAAAAAACAUAUAUAAAGUGUAUUUAACGAGAAUAAGGCAAAUUACAUGCGGAAAAUUGAAAGAAAAUUAAGUGCGGUGUUUCAAACGCAAGAGAGUUCCGCGCCUUAGAUAAUACUUUAACGUGUGUGAGGAGAACAGUUGAAAUAAAAGACAUAUUCAAAGUGUAUAUAACGAGAAUAAGGCAAAUUGCACGCAGGAAAUUGAAAGAAAAUUAAGGGGUAUUUCAAACGCAAGGGAGUUCCCCGCCUUAUGUCAGACGAGGUGACGAGCAGACGGAACACGGGCAAGCUGGCGGGCACUGCUUGUAUAAUCUUCUUUUUUACGUAAUUCAGUGUUGAUAAUAUGUUGUGCGUGUGUGUGAAGAGUGAUAGUGUAUCCAUGGUGCUCCUGUGGAAAUUCCCGCCGUGUAUGGUGAGUAUAAGAUGGUGAAAUGAGGGAAAGUAGUGAGGCAGAGGGGUGGUAUACUGUCGGCCGCUGAGUAGGUGUGUAUGUACUGGGUAGUUUCUUGUUGUUUAAUGAAGGUACAAGAACUCAGGGUCAGCAAGGAGGGCUAGGGGACACACAGGGAGGGUGGUAGGAGGGAGUGGGAGAGACGUUAAAUAGAUAACGAUAAAAUUUAGCUUGAGAGAAGAUUAGCGAACAACCCGCGCGCUUGUUAAUAGUUGGAUCUUUAAACACGUGCGUAUACCUCCCCUUUUCCUCCUCCCCCCUCCCCACCCUACACACUUAAUAUUUACCUUGUUUGUGUAUUUCAUGGAUCUGUAUUGCGAAAACUAUUUUUUUGUAGUGUGUGUGUGUGUGUGUGUGUGUGUGUGUGUGUGUGUGUGUGUGUGUGUGUGUGUGUGUGUGUGUGUGUGUGUGUGUGUGUGUGUGUGUGUGUGUGUGUGUGUGUGUGUGUGUGUGUGACAGGUGAGAGAUAUUGAUUGCUACAGGUAAUAUUGGAAUGCGGAACUGGGAUUGUAUGGAAUGAGAGAGAGAGAGAGAGAGAGAGAGAGAGAGAGAGAGAGAGAGAGAGAGAGAGAGAGAGAGAGAGAGCCUAACCUUAUCUGUAUCUUCACCACCACCACCACCACUACCACUACCACCACCACCACCACCCCCAUAGGCCUUAAAUAUUUUCCCAGAGGCACACCAGACUACAAUUUUCACUCUCACAAUCUCACUAUUGCUAAGAGAGAGAGAGAGAGAGAGAGAGAGAGAGAGAGAGAGAGAGAGAGAGAGAGAGAGAGAGAG